UCUGUGGCCGCGGAGAAGGGGAGUGCGAAACGGGGAAGAGAAGGCGAGAGAGAAGAAACAAGGCACCCAACGCCCUAAUUUCGCUCUCUUCGAAGCCCCUCCUUCCGUCGAUCGAGAUAAGGAGAGGAGAAGAAGAGGUUGGGGUUGCGUCGGGGAUCUCAAAAUGCAUAAAUUGGGAAGAAGAAAUCGAGACAAAGUGCAGCAGUUUAUGGCAAUUAAUGGAACGAGUGAAAGAGUUGCUCUUAAGGCAUUGAAAGUGAGCAAUUGGCAUUUAGAGGAGGCUUUUCAUAUGUUUUAUGGCCAACCACAUACUAGACAGUUGUUGAUUCUAGGCAUCUUGAAGAGCUUUAUAACAGAUAUAAAGGCAAGUUCUCCUUGAGUAGUGAGUUCUUUUGUUUUGCUGUCAAAUAUUUGUCUGCAUACUUCCAGUCACUAUUCUUUUUUUUUUUUUUACUGCUGAAUUUUGGUUCUUCAUGGUAGAUCCCCAUGCACCUGAUACCAAUCUUAGUUGCAUAAUCAGUAUUGAGACAGAUAUUUUAAGGAUGAUAUGAUUGAUAUUAACAAAAUCUUGAGAUUGGAUUAACGAGAUUGAUUGGUUUGAUGGAGAUAAUAACAUGAAAAAUUAGAAAAAUGUAAACAAUGUAAUAAAAAAAAAUUAUGAUAUAAAAUUUUAUGAAAAGAAUACCAUAAUAAAAUAUUCCUUUACCUAUCAUGUUUCCUGUUGUCUAUUUUAUUUAAAGAAUAUGAAUCUAAGAUAUAGAUGAAAAAAAUUACACUGAAAGUAUGUAGAUUAAUUUAUUAAAGUUAACUAAUAUAUAUAGACGUCAGAUUCUAGGAUGACCUCAGGCAAGUAAUUUCCCAUUUGCUUACUUGACCUUAAUUGUUGGAAUCUUCUUUUCAUUGUUUCUUCAGUCUUGUGCUAUCAUAAAUAAACAAUCAUGCUUUCAGCCUAAAUAUUAUCAAAUAUGUUAGCAUAAAACAUUAUUCAUCAAUUGUUCUCUACCUAAUAUCUAAUCCUGCUUAAUAUUUAAUUAUAUGCUACUAAUGCUGCAAGUUACUUGCUUAUGUUUGGAUUGAGUAAAAUAAAAUAAUUUUGGUUGUGGCAGAUCCUUGUGUUGAUAUGAUACUGGUUGAUGGUAUAACCCUUCUUUGCAGUGAUUUGCAAGUAAGAUAUGGUAUAACCCUUCUUUGCAGUGAUACCGGUCUAUUCUUCCAUAUUUGCAUUAUCUUAUUAUGUCUGAAGUGGUUUUGAGGUGGCAACAAGUGGUGCAUUUUCUACUCUAUUAGUCUUUGACUAAGUUUUUUGACAUAUCUGGUGAUAGAAUCAAUUUAUGUAUUAAUAACUAUUGCACAUUGAUUAAAGAAAUGUAUAUUCUGUUCAAAGUGUUUGUUAUAA
Musa acuminata AAA Group (dessert banana) is the source of this 1396-nucleotide long non-coding RNA. RefSeq lists it as uncharacterized. The record is from RefSeq and is a predicted model, not a curated record. Lineage: Eukaryota; Viridiplantae; Streptophyta; Magnoliopsida; Zingiberales; Musaceae. The transcript is spliced from 3 exons.